CCUACGGGCGGCAGCAGUGAGGAAUAUUGGUCAAUGGCCGGGAGGCUGAACCAGCCAAGUAGCGUGAGGGAAGACGGCCCUACGGGUUGUAAACCUCUUUUGUAAGGGAGCAAGGUGCAGGGCGGGAGCUGCUGUGAGAGUACCUGAAGAAAAAGCAUCGGCUAACGCCGUGCCAGCAGCCGCGGUAAUACGGAGGAGGCGAGCUUUAUCCGGAUUUAGUGGGUGUAAAGGGUGCGCAGGCGGAGGCCCAAGUCAGCGGUAAAAUCGCGGGGCUCAACCCCGCACCGCCGUUGAAACUGUGUCCCUUGAGUGCGCGACGGGUAGGCGGAAUGCGUGGUGUAGCGGUGAACUGCCUAGCUAUCCCGC
RNAcentral lists this ribosomal RNA (366 nucleotides) under uncultured bacterium. Its description in RNAcentral is "partial 16S ribosomal RNA". It matches the Rfam family "Bacterial small subunit ribosomal RNA", at positions 338 to 702 of the family's 1533-position model. The record is from RNAcentral.